RNAcentral lists this ribosomal RNA (2902 nucleotides) under Escherichia coli. Its description in RNAcentral is "bacterial LSU rRNA". It matches the Rfam family "Bacterial large subunit ribosomal RNA". Lineage: Bacteria; Pseudomonadati; Pseudomonadota; Gammaproteobacteria; Enterobacterales; Enterobacteriaceae. The record is from RNAcentral.
UUAAGCGACUAAGCGUACACGGUGGAUGCCCUGGCAGUCAGAGGCGAUGAAGGACGUGCUAAUCUGCGAUAAGCGUCGGUAAGGUGAUAUGAACCGUUAUAACCGGCGAUUUCCGAAUGGGGAAACCCAGUGUGUUUCGACACACUAUCAUUAACUGAAUCCAUAGGUUAAUGAGGCGAACCGGGGGAACUGAAACAUCUAAGUACCCCGAGGAAAAGAAAUCAACCGAGAUUCCCCCAGUAGCGGCGAGCGAACGGGGAGCAGCCCAGAGCCUGAAUCAGUAUGUGUGUUAGUGGAAGCGUCUGGAAAGGCGCGCGAUACAGGGUGACAGCCCCGUACACAAAAAUGCACAUGCUGUGAGCUCGAUGAGUAGGGCGGGACACGUGGUAUCCUGUCUGAAUAUGGGGGGACCAUCCUCCAAGGCUAAAUACUCCUGACUGACCGAUAGUGAACCAGUACCGUGAGGGAAAGGCGAAAAGAACCCCGGCGAGGGGAGUGAAAAAGAACCUGAAACCGUGUACGUACAAGCAGUGGGAGCACGCUUAGGCGUGUGACUGCGUACCUUUUGUAUAAUGGGUCAGCGACUUAUAUUCUGUAGCAAGGUUAACCGAAUAGGGGAGCCGAAGGGAAACCGAGUCUUAACUGGGCGUUAAGUUGCAGGGUAUAGACCCGAAACCCGGUGAUCUAGCCAUGGGCAGGUUGAAGGUUGGGUAACACUAACUGGAGGACCGAACCGACUAAUGUUGAAAAAUUAGCGGAUGACUUGUGGCUGGGGGUGAAAGGCCAAUCAAACCGGGAGAUAGCUGGUUCUCCCCGAAAGCUAUUUAGGUAGCGCCUCGUGAAUUCAUCUCCGGGGGUAGAGCACUGUUUCGGCAAGGGGGUCAUCCCGACUUACCAACCCGAUGCAAACUGCGAAUACCGGAGAAUGUUAUCACGGGAGACACACGGCGGGUGCUAACGUCCGUCGUGAAGAGGGAAACAACCCAGACCGCCAGCUAAGGUCCCAAAGUCAUGGUUAAGUGGGAAACGAUGUGGGAAGGCCCAGACAGCCAGGAUGUUGGCUUAGAAGCAGCCAUCAUUUAAAGAAAGCGUAAUAGCUCACUGGUCGAGUCGGCCUGCGCGGAAGAUGUAACGGGGCUAAACCAUGCACCGAAGCUGCGGCAGCGACACUAUGUGUUGUUGGGUAGGGGAGCGUUCUGUAAGCCUGUGAAGGUGUGCUGUGAGGCAUGCUGGAGGUAUCAGAAGUGCGAAUGCUGACAUAAGUAACGAUAAAGCGGGUGAAAAGCCCGCUCGCCGGAAGACCAAGGGUUCCUGUCCAACGUUAAUCGGGGGCAGGGUGAGUCGACCCCUAAGGCGAGGCCGAAAGGCGUAGUCGAUGGGAAACAGGUUAAUAUUCCUGUACUUGGUGUUACUGCGAAGGGGGGACGGAGAAGGCUAUGUUGGCCGGGCGACGGUUGUCCCGGUUUAAGCGUGUAGGCUGGUUUUCCAGGCAAAUCCGGAAAAUCAAGGCUGAGGCGUGAUGACGAGGCACUACGGUGCUGAAGCAACAAAUGCCCUGCUUCCAGGAAAAGCCUCUAAGCAUCAGGUAACAUCAAAUCGUACCCCAAACCGACACAGGUGGUCAGGUAGAGAAUACCAAGGCGCUUGAGAGAACUCGGGUGAAGGAACUAGGCAAAAUGGUGCCGUAACUUCGGGAGAAGGCACGCUGAUAUGUAGGUGAAGCGACUUGCUCGUGGAGCUGAAAUCAGUCGAAGAUACCAGCUGGCUGCAACUGUUUAUUAAAAACACAGCACUGUGCAAACACGAAAGUGGACGUAUACGGUGUGACGCCUGCCCGGUGCCGGAAGGUUAAUUGAUGGGGUCAGCGCAAGCGAAGCUCUUGAUCGAAGCCCCGGUAAACGGCGGCCGUAACUAUAACGGUCCUAAGGUAGCGAAAUUCCUUGUCGGGUAAGUUCCGACCUGCACGAAUGGCGUAAUGAUGGCCAGGCUGUCUCCACCCGAGACUCAGUGAAAUUGAACUCGCUGUGAAGAUGCAGUGUACCCGCGGCAAGACGGAAAGACCCCGUGAACCUUUACUAUAGCUUGACACUGAACAUUGAGCCUUGAUGUGUAGGAUAGGUGGGAGGCUUUGAAGUGUGGACGCCAGUCUGCAUGGAGCCGACCUUGAAAUACCACCCUUUAAUGUUUGAUGUUCUAACGUGGACCCGUGAUCCGGGUUGCGGACAGUGUCUGGUGGGUAGUUUGACUGGGGCGGUCUCCUCCUAAAGAGUAACGGAGGAGCACGAAGGUUGGCUAAUCCUGGUCGGACAUCAGGAGGUUAGUGCAAUGGCAUAAGCCAGCUUGACUGCGAGCGUGACGGCGCGAGCAGGUGCGAAAGCAGGUCAUAGUGAUCCGGUGGUUCUGAAUGGAAGGGCCAUCGCUCAACGGAUAAAAGGUACUCCGGGGAUAACAGGCUGAUACCGCCCAAGAGUUCAUAUCGACGGCGGUGUUUGGCACCUCGAUGUCGGCUCAUCACAUCCUGGGGCUGAAGUAGGUCCCAAGGGUAUGGCUGUUCGCCAUUUAAAGUGGUACGCGAGCUGGGUUUAGAACGUCGUGAGACAGUUCGGUCCCUAUCUGCCGUGGGCGCUGGAGAACUGAGGGGGGCUGCUCCUAGUACGAGAGGACCGGAGUGGACGCAUCACUGGUGUUCGGGUUGUCAUGCCAAUGGCACUGCCCGGUAGCUAAAUGCGGAAGAGAUAAGUGCUGAAAGCAUCUAAGCACGAAACUUGCCCCGAGAUGAGUUCUCCCUGACUCCUUGAGAGUCCUGAAGGAACGUUGAAGACGACGACGUUGAUAGGCCGGGUGUGUAAGCGCAGCGAUGCGUUGAGCUAACCGGUACUAAUGAACCGUGAGGCUUAACCUU